RNAcentral lists this ribosomal RNA (406 nucleotides) under uncultured bacterium. Its description in RNAcentral is "partial 16S ribosomal RNA". It matches the Rfam family "Bacterial small subunit ribosomal RNA", at positions 30 to 526 of the family's 1533-position model. The record is from RNAcentral.
AUUGAACGCUGGCGGCAGGCCUAACACAUGCAAGUCGAGCGAGCGGCGGACGGGUGAGUAAUGUAUGGGAAUCUGCCCGAUAGAGGGGGAUAAAUACUGGAAACGGUGGCUAAUACCGCAUACUCUCGGAUGAACCCAUAUGGGAUUAGAUAGUAGGUGGGUUAACGGCUCACCUAGGCGACGAUCUCUCGCUGGUCUGAGAGGAUGCACAGCCACACUGGAACUGAGACACGGCCCAGACUCCGACGGGAGGCAGCAGUGGGGAAUAUUGCACAAUGGGCGCAAGCCUGAUGCAGCCAUGCCGCGUGUAUGAAGAAGGCCUUAGGGUUGUAAAGUACGUUCAGCGGGGAGGCGUUACCCGCAGAAGAAGCACCGGCUAACUCCGUGCCAGCAGCCGCGGUAAUUC